This 517-nucleotide ribosomal RNA is filed under the name uncultured Pyrenochaeta. RNAcentral's name for it is "eukaryotic LSU rRNA". The stretch from base 177 to 330 matches the Rfam family "5.8S ribosomal RNA". The record is from RNAcentral. Lineage: Eukaryota; Fungi; Ascomycota; Dothideomycetes; Pleosporales; Pleosporaceae.
UCAUUACCCUUCUCUCAGGGGGAUGGACGCAACAGGUUCACGCUUGUUGCUCCGCCCUUUCUGAAUAUACCCAUGUCUUUUGCGUACUAUUUGUUUCCUCGGCAGGCUUGCCUGCCGAUAGGACAUCAUUAAACCUUUUGUAAUUGCAGUCAGCGUCAGAAAAACAUAAUAAUUACAACUUUCAACAACGGAUCUCUUGGUUCUGGCAUCGAUGAAGAACGCAGCGAAAUGCGAUAAGUAGUGUGAAUUGCAGAAUUCAGUGAAUCAUCGAAUCUUUGAACGCACAUUGCGCCCCUUGGUAUUCCAUGGGGCAUGCCUGUUCGAGCGUCAUUUGUACCCUCAAGCUCUGCUUGGUGUUGGGUGUUUGUCCCGCCUUGCGCGUGGACUCGCCUUAAAGCAAUUGGCAGCCGGCAUAUUGGCCUGGAGCGCAGCACAUUUUGCGCCUCUUGUCAUGAAUGUUGGCAUCCAUCAAGACUAUAUUUUUGCUCUUGACCUCGGAUCAGGUAGGGAUACCCGC